GUUCUAAAUUUAAAAUUAGAUCUUAGAGAAUUCUUUGAGAUUUCUUGCUCCCAAAGUAAUACGAUUACGUAUAGGCAAGAUGUUUUAGAUCUUAGAGAAUUUAUGAUCUCUACUUUCGAGUUACACAAUCACACUUAAUGUCAAAUACUAACUAUAACACUCUCCUAUGAAUGUGUAAAUACUAAAUACUCAAGUAGCAAGCACAUUUAAUCUUUAGACAAUUGUAGAAGCAAUUGAUGAUGAAGUCGUCUUGAAUCCAAUCACUAAUGCCCUGAC
Molecule: long non-coding RNA, 276 nt
Filed under: Malus domestica (apple)
Lineage: Eukaryota; Viridiplantae; Streptophyta; Magnoliopsida; Rosales; Rosaceae
Description: long non-coding RNA (MDOM_LNC015187)
Source: RNAcentral